This 1018-nucleotide ribosomal RNA is filed under the name Escherichia coli. RNAcentral's name for it is "partial 23S ribosomal RNA". It matches the Rfam family "Bacterial large subunit ribosomal RNA", at positions 1213 to 2215 of the family's 2925-position model. Lineage: Bacteria; Pseudomonadati; Pseudomonadota; Gammaproteobacteria; Enterobacterales; Enterobacteriaceae. The record is from RNAcentral.
CUGAUGCGUUGUUGGGUAGGGGAGCGUUCUGUAAGCCUGCGAAGGUGUGCUGUGAGGCAUGCUGGAGGUAUCAGAAGUGCGAAUGCUGACAUAAGUAACGAUAAAGCGGGUGAAAAGCCCGCUCGCCGGAAGACCAAGGGUUCCUGUCCAACGUUAAUCGGGGCAGGGUGAGUCGACCCCUAAGGCGAGGCCGAAAGGCGUAGUCGAUGGGAAACAGGUUAAUAUUCCUGUGCUUGGUGUUACUGCGAAGGGGGGACGGAGAAGGCUAUGUUGGCCGGGCGACGGUUGUCCCGGUUUAAGCGUGUAGGCUGGUUUUCCAGGCAAAUCCGGAAAAUCAAGGCUGAGGCGUGAUGACGAGGCACUACGGUGCUGAAGCAACAAAUGCCCUGCUUCCAGGAAAAGCCUCUAAGCAUCAGGUAACAUCAAAUCGUACCCCAAACCGACACAGGUGGUCAGGUAGAGAAUACCAAGGCGCUUGAGAGAACUCGGGUGAAGGAACUAGGCAAAAUGGUGCCGUAACUUCGGGAGAAGGCACGCUGAUAUGUAGGUGAAGUCCCUCGCGGAUGGAGCUGAAAUCAGUCGAAGAUACCAGCUGGCUGCAACUGUUUAUUAAAAACACAGCACUGUGCAAACACGAAAGUGGACGUAUACGGUGUGACGCCUGCCCGGUGCCGGAAGGUUAAUUGAUGGGGUCAGCGCAAGCGAAGCUCUUGAUCGAAGCCCCGGUAAACGGCGGCCGUAACUAUAACGGUCCUAAGGUAGCGAAAUUCCUUGUCGGGUAAGUUCCGACCUGCACGAAUGGCGUAAUGAUGGCCAGGCUGUCUCCACCCGAGACUCAGUGAAAUUGAACUCGCUGUGAAGAUGCAGUGUACCCGCGGCAAGACGGAAAGACCCCGUGAACCUUUACUAUAGCUUGACACUGAACAUUGAGCCUUGAUGUGUAGGAUAGGUGGGAGGCUUUGAAGUGUGGACGCCAGUCUGCAUGGAGCCGACCUUGAAAUACCACCCUUUAAUGUUU